UACGGAGGGUGCAAGCGUUGUCCGGAAUCAUUGGGUUUAAAGGGUGCGUAGGCGGUCCUUUAAGUCAGAGGUGAAAUCCCACAGCUUAACUGUGGAACUGCCUUUGAUACUGGAGGACUUGAGUACGGUUGAGGUAUGUGGAAUUUAUGGUGUAGCGGUGAAAUGCAUAGAUACCAUAAAGAACACCAAUUGCGUAGGCAGCAUACUGGGCCGUAACUGACGCUGAGGCACGAAAGCGUGGGGAGCGAACAGG
This 253-nucleotide unclassified non-coding RNA is filed under the name uncultured Cytophagales bacterium. RNAcentral describes it as "contains 16S-23S intergenic spacer region". It matches the Rfam family "Bacterial small subunit ribosomal RNA", at positions 524 to 776 of the family's 1533-position model. Lineage: Bacteria; Pseudomonadati; Bacteroidota; Sphingobacteriia; Sphingobacteriales. The record is from RNAcentral.